RNAcentral lists this ribosomal RNA (501 nucleotides) under uncultured Anaerovorax sp. RNAcentral describes it as "partial 16S ribosomal RNA". Lineage: Bacteria; Bacillati; Bacillota; Clostridia; Peptostreptococcales; Anaerovoracaceae. The record is from RNAcentral.
CACGUAGUUAGCCGGGGCUUCCUCCAAGGGUACCGUCAUUUUCUUCUUCCCCUAGGACAGAGCUUUACAAUCCGAAGACCUUCUUCGCUCACGCGGCGUUGCUGCAUCAGGCUUUCGCCCAUUGUGCAAUAUUCCCCACUGCUGCCUCCCGUAGGAGUUUGGACCGUGUCUCAGUUCCAAUGUGGCCGUUCACCCUCUCAGGUCGGCUACUGAUCGUCGCCUUGGUAGGCCGUUACCCCACCAACUAGCUAAUCAGACGCAGGCCCAUCCUUUGCCGAUAAAUCUUUGACCUCCUUGCCAUGUGACAAAAAAGUGUUAUGAGGUUUUAAUCAUCGUUUCCAAUGGCUAUCCCUCUGCAAAGGGCAGGUUGCCUACGCGUUACUCACCCGUCCGCCGCUCUCCAUCCCCUCUUUCGACCGAAGUUUCAAUUAGGAAUUUCCCGCUCGACUUGCAUGUGUUAGGCACGCCGCCAGCGUUCAUCCUGAGCCAGGAUCAAACUCU